RNAcentral lists this long non-coding RNA (1011 nucleotides) under Apteryx haastii (Great spotted kiwi). RNAcentral describes it as "lncRNA (ENSAHAG00000005023.1)". Lineage: Eukaryota; Metazoa; Chordata; Aves; Apterygiformes; Apterygidae. The record is from RNAcentral.
AUGGUGGAGGCUCAGCCAGGCUUGCUGAUGUGUUCACCUGGGCGAUGGAGACAAAACCCAGCUGAACCCUCUGCGCUGGGACUUGCUGCCAGCCGCUGCCCAGGAAAGCCUGAGAGCAGAGCGCCUGCAGGCAGGGCUGGCAGCCGGCCGGGGUGCAGAGGGCCUGCCAGGCCCGUGGUGAGCACGGCAGCCUUGUGCAGGGACCACUCCGAGCCCCGCAGCCCCUCGGGGAGCUCUGCCGAGCCGUGCAAGGGGCGUGCAGCAUCUGCGCUGGGGCAGCCGCAUUCCUCAGCCUGGGGGAGAGGCUCUGAGCGCCGGCAGGUGCAGUCGUGGUUCACCCUCGGAGCUCCCGCAGAGGGUUGCCCUUGCACACAGGGCAUUGCCAGGCUGGCGCUGGCCCAGCACUGCCAGCGUGGCAAUGAAUGGCCUUUUCUUCCCCUGUGCUCCCCAAGAGAGGGUUCCUGCAUCCGUGUGGCCCGAGAAAUAAUGUUAUCCGGGCAGCUCUUGGCAGGCACGGCCCACUCCAACCAGCCCGUAUUGUAUUCUUUUGGCUUUGGGAUCACCUGCGGGUGGCAGGAGGCCACGGCCUGGAGCCGAGUGCUACGCAGGGGUUUUGGGGAGGAGAGGGCUCUCGCCUCUGCUGGGCACGGGGCUCGCAAAGCCCCUGCGCCCCCCACGAAGCCAUGGCUGGCGGAGAGGGGCAGUGACGCUCUCCCCUGGGGUCGAGGAUGUCACCUCGGCACCAUGCUCCCUGUCCCUGGGGGGAACCUGGGCAGGGCUUUGCUGGCCUGGAGAGCACUUGGCUGUGGUCCUAUCGCUGUGCUGUGCCAGGCUCCCCAGCCGCAGGUCCACGGGGACUGCUGGAGCCCAGCAGCGGGUGCUGGGACCCAGGCGGCAGUGCUGGGGAGGGCUUCCCAACCUCCCGUCCCUGCAGGAAGGGGACAUGGAGAUCCACCAGAGCAGAGGAGGUGCUUGGUGGGGCUCGCUGGGCUGAGGCCCUGGUGCCCGUAG